This 400-nucleotide ribosomal RNA is filed under the name uncultured bacterium. RNAcentral's name for it is "bacterial SSU rRNA". It matches the Rfam family "Bacterial small subunit ribosomal RNA", at positions 355 to 771 of the family's 1533-position model. The record is from RNAcentral.
UGGGGAAUCUUGCGCAAUGGGCGAAAGCCUGACGCAGCCAUGCCGCGUGAGUGAUGAAGGUCUUAGGAUUGUAAAGCUCUUUCGCCCGCGACGAUGAUGACGGUAACGGGAGAAGAAGUCCCGGCUAACUUCGUGCCAGCAGCCGCGGUAAUACGAAGGGGGCUAGCGUUGUUCGGAAUUACUGGGCGUAAAGCGCGCGUAGGCGGCUUUGCAAGCCAGGGGUGAAAUGCCUGAGCUCAACUUGGGAAUUGCCUUUGGGACUGUGAGGCUUUGAGGACUGGAGAGGUGAGUGGAAUUCCCAGUGUAGAGGUGAAAUUCGUAGAUAUUGGGAAGAACACCGGUGGCGAAGGCGGCUCACUGGCCAGUUUCUGACGCUGUAGCGCGAAAGCGUGGGGAUCAA